Molecule: long non-coding RNA, 429 nt
Organism: Oncorhynchus masou masou (cherry salmon)
Lineage: Eukaryota; Metazoa; Chordata; Actinopteri; Salmoniformes; Salmonidae
Exons: 3
Source: RefSeq, a predicted model, not a curated record
GCCCAAAGAACACCUCAGUGUCAGUCAGUCCCUCUGGUGAAAUAGUGGAGGGCAGUUCAGUGACUCUGACCUGCAGCAGUGAUGCCAACCCACCUGUGGACAAAUACACCUGGUACAAGAAGAACGUAGCCUCACCAAAAGCAUCAGGACAGAAUUACAGCAUCACUAACAUCAUCUCUGAGGACAGAGGAGAAUAUUACUGUGAGGCCCAGAAUGGAAGAGGAUCUAAUAACUCUACAGCUCUGAUGAUCAUUGUAGCAGGGAAACAGACCUCAUUUCUGACUGCAGCUGUAGGGAUCAUAGUGGUUGUACUGGUUCUCAUCCUCUGUCUCUCUGGACUCAUGUUGUUCAGGAGAUACACAGGAGGAAGUGAUGCGACAACAGACACACAGGUGAUUCUAUCAGUUAUCAGUUACACCAGGACACCCC